Amphiprion ocellaris (clown anemonefish) is the source of this 596-nucleotide long non-coding RNA. The record is from Ensembl. Lineage: Eukaryota; Metazoa; Chordata; Actinopteri; Pomacentridae.
AUUAACAGAAGACGUCAAACAGCUGAAAAAGUGCUGCAGUGAUGCCGACACCCAGUGUGACGACUUCCAAAGACAACUGCAACAGAGCCAGGAGGAUGAAGAUCGUCUGCAUCAGCAGCUGAAUGACAAAGACGCCAAGCUCAAACAUGUGGAGCAGGAGUUAGAAGAACGCACUAAAGAGAAUAAUCAGCUGCAGCAGGAACACAGCGAUCUGCAGAAGAAACUGCAACUGAAAAGUGAGGAGUGUUCUGGAUCUAAGGACAAAUAUGAGCAGGUAAAAACUGAAUAUGAGCAGAAGAUUGCUGAAUUGAACAGAACUGGAGACUCCACAGCAGCACUCAUUCUGGAUGUGGUAAAGCUGCAUGAUGAGGUGAAGGUUUUGAGGGAAGAGAUCUCCAACUCAGAAGACAAAGACGUGAUCUCAGAGCUCCAAAGGCAACUGGAGAAGAAGCAAAAAGAUCUGGACUCCAAGACUGCAGACAUAGAGAGACUGACUGCCAAUCCAAGAAUGGUUUUAACAAUCAUUGAGCUGCAAGAUGAGAUCUGGGACCUUCAGAGGAAAGAUGUCAAUGGGACCACAAGUGGUGAUGUAAAAA